Molecule: small nuclear RNA, 107 nt
Filed under: Dasypus novemcinctus (nine-banded armadillo)
Lineage: Eukaryota; Metazoa; Chordata; Mammalia; Cingulata; Dasypodidae
Source: RNAcentral
GUGCUUGCUUCGGCAGCACGUACACUAAAAUUGGAACGAUACAGAGAAGAUUAGCAUGGCCCCUGUGCAAGGAUGACAUGCAAAUUCAUGAAGCGUUCCAUAUUUUU